UUUGAUAAAGGAUCACCUAGUAACAUGCACUGAGGUAUCUAAUGGUAAACCACAAAGUAGUAGUGAUGGUGUGGUUGAAGGAACGAUUAAUAACACCAUUAAUAUGGACUUUAAUGAUGAUGAUGCAGGACCUUUACAUUCCUAUGCCCAUGAAGAAGUUUUUGAUGAAUUCAGAUCAGAUUCAGAUCAAUCAGAUAAUGAUAGUAUCCCUCCACUUCCUCCUCCUACAGUUAA
Amphimedon queenslandica is the source of this 234-nucleotide long non-coding RNA. RefSeq lists it as uncharacterized. Lineage: Eukaryota; Metazoa; Porifera; Demospongiae; Haplosclerida; Niphatidae. The transcript has 3 exons. The record is from RefSeq and is a predicted model, not a curated record.